RNAcentral lists this ribosomal RNA (387 nucleotides) under uncultured euryarchaeote. RNAcentral's name for it is "bacterial SSU rRNA". It matches the Rfam family "Archaeal small subunit ribosomal RNA", at positions 339 to 727 of the family's 1478-position model. Lineage: Archaea; Methanobacteriati; Methanobacteriota. The record is from RNAcentral.
GCACGAAACCUUUACAAUGCACGAAAGUGUGAUAAGGGAAUUCCAAGUGCUCUAUCAAUGAUAGGGCUUUUGCCAAGUGUAAGGAGCUUGGCGAAUAAGUGGUGGGUAAGACUGGUGCCAGCCGCCGCGGUAACCCCAGCGCCACAAGUGGUGACCAUAUUUAUUGGGUCUAAAGCGUCCGUAGCCGGUUUAGUAAAUUUCUUGUGAAAUCGUUAGACUUAAUUUAACGGCGUGCAAGAAACACUGUUAAACUUGAGACCGGGAGAAGGUAAAGGUAUUUCAGGGGGAGCGGUAAAAUGUUAUAAUCCUUGAAAGACCAUCAAUGGCGAAGGCAUUUACCUAGAACGGGUCUGACGGUCAGGGACGAAAGCUAGGGGAGCAAAACGG